Molecule: transfer RNA, 69 nt
Filed under: Percocypris pingi
Lineage: Eukaryota; Metazoa; Chordata; Actinopteri; Cypriniformes; Cyprinidae
Description: tRNA-Ser
Source: RNAcentral
AAGGGAGAACUGAAAAUAGUAAGCACUGCUAACACUUACAUCCCACGGUUAAAAUCCGCGGCUUCCUUG